AUCAUUCAAUAAACUGAUCUUCCGGAUUACCAUGCUUAAGACAUCACGCCUCCAUAUGUCUAUAUAAAGCGCAAAUGGCUGGAAGUAGACCAAUUUUUUUUGUUCCUAGCUUUUCAUUAUUGAAAUCUAAUCCAGUUUUAAUGGUUUUUCUUAAUUAAGAAAACAAAUUAUCAUUGGUUCGCUCUAGGUGUACAUAUCUUCACU
Saccharomyces cerevisiae S288C is the source of this 204-nucleotide small nucleolar RNA. The record is from Ensembl. NCBI's taxonomy places the organism in Eukaryota, Fungi, Ascomycota, Saccharomycetes, Saccharomycetales, Saccharomycetaceae.